This is a long non-coding RNA of Entelurus aequoreus (snake pipefish), 1161 nucleotides long. RefSeq lists it as uncharacterized. The transcript has 5 exons. Lineage: Eukaryota; Metazoa; Chordata; Actinopteri; Syngnathiformes; Syngnathidae. The record is from RefSeq and is a predicted model, not a curated record.
AAGAACACACAUGUUUUUUUUACUAUUUUAAAGAUGAUUUAAAAAAAAACAGCUAAUGACUAGUCACCGUUGUAGCCUUCAAAGCAACUUCAAAACCCUCCAACAACGGUUUGCAUACACACUUUUGUUUAAUGAACAAUGGAGACAGCAAAGAAGAAAGCUGUAGGUGGGAAGCGGUGUAUUAGCGGCCGGCUGCAGCAACACAACCAGGAGGACUUUGAGUUGGAUAGCAGACGCGCUACCCUCUCUGACAUUAGGUGCUUUGAGCUUGCCGUCCUUUUCCAGAGAACCUUUCCCGUCCUUGGCAGAAGAGCGUGGACUAUUACGUCGGGGCAGCUGCUUUAUGAAGUUUUUAAGUCCACUCUUCUUCUCGUCCGGUUCCUCCUACCCAGCCAGGCCUAUCUCCAAACGGGACAGUAAGGGUUCGCUGGAGGAAAGCUUGGAGGACCAGACGACUCUCAGCUUUGACCUCAAGCAGGGAAAUGGAGGAGACAGAAGAAGAGCGACCCAUUGUGUCUGACAUCUAAAGGUCCACACACGAGCUUCCCACUUGAGCCAGUCCUUACAUGGGAAGGAUACGGGAUGUGAUCGUAUUAAGGCGAGCAAACCGACCCUACUGGGGGAAUGUCAGAUCCAGUUGAUGAAUGAGCUGAUGCAGCACACUCGCUGUCAUCUCUUCCCCUCAUCUGACGUAUGCAUUUGCUUCUUUCCCAACAUACUGCUGUUUAGAAAGCAACAAAAUUACAUUCAAAUAAUUCACUCGCAUUUUUGGAAGAUUGCACCAAACUAAAGCGGGUCAGCACAGACCGAGUCAGUGGAGCAGGUUAAGAGCCAAGUAAUGUCUUUGGCAUGUCUGAGCUCAUCUCCACUUUCAGCCACUUUGCAGUCUUCAUCUCGACCUGAUCUCCUCGUCUCGCUCCGUCCAACUCAGCUGUCCCCCAAUGCUCCUCGUCUGUCAGCAGUUCAAACUGCAACCCUGGGACUGAGGGCAGAAGAGGAAAAAAAUUACAAAAUGGAUCUAUUGAUGAAUAUGUACAGUUGUUACCGCGGUUUUUCUUCAUAAUUUGUAAAUCCAAUUAAUUGGUUUCACACUGCAAAAACUGAAAUCUAAGUAAGAUUAAAUAUCUCAAAUAAGGGUGAUAUUUGCUUAUUUUCUGUCUG